Molecule: ribosomal RNA, 434 nt
Filed under: uncultured bacterium
Lineage: Bacteria
Description: partial 16S ribosomal RNA
Rfam family: Bacterial small subunit ribosomal RNA
Source: RNAcentral
AGCGAACGCUGGCGGCAGGCUUAACACAUGCAAGUCGAGCGGGCACUUUCGGGUGUCAGCGGCGGACGGGUGAGUAACGCGUGGGAACGUGCCCUCUGGUUCGGAAUAACUCAGGGAAACUUGAGCUAAUACCGGAUACGCCCUUUUGGGGAAAGGCUUGCUGCCGGAGGAUCGGCCCGCGUCUGAUUAGCUAGUUGGUGAGGUAACGGCUCACCAAGGCGACGAUCAGUAGCUGGUCUGAGAGGAUGAUCAGCCACACUGGGACUGAGACACGGCCCAGACUCCUACGGGAGGCAGCAGUGGGGAAUAUUGGACACUGGGCGCAAGCCUGAUCCAGCCAUGCCGCGUGAGUGAUGAAGGCCUUAGGGUUGUAAAGCUCUUUUAUCCGGGACGAUAAUGACGGUACCGGAGGAAUAAGCCCCGGCUAACUUCGU